GAACGGGUGAGUAACACGUGGGUGAUCUGCCCUGCACUUUGGGAUAAGCCUGGGAAACUGGGUCUAAUACCGAAUAGGACCACGCGCUUCAUGGUGUGUGGUGGAAAGCUUUUGCGGUGUGGGAUGGGCCCGCGGCCUAUCAGCUUGUUGGUGGGGUAAUGGCCUACCAAGGCGACGACGGGUAGCCGGCCUGAGAGGGUGACCGGCCACACUGGGACUGAGAUACGGCCCAGACUCCUACGGGAGGCAGCAGUGGGGAAUAUUGCACAAUGGGCGCAAGCCUGAUGCAGCGACGCCGCGUGAGGGAUGACGGCCUUCGGGUUGUAAACUUCUUUCAAUAGGGACGAAGCGCAAGUGACGGUACCUAUAGAAGAAGCACCGGCCAACUACGUGCCAGCAGCCGCGGUAAUACGUAGGGCGCGAGCGUUGUCCGGAAUUACUGGGCGUAAAGAGCUCGUAGGUGGUUUGUCGCGUUGUUCGUGAAAACUCACAGCUUAACUGUGGGCGUGCGGGCGAUACGGGCAGACUAGAGUACUGCAGGGGAGACUGGAAUUCCUGGUGUAGCGGUGGAAUGCGCAGAUAUCAGGAGGAACACCGGUGGCGAAGGCGGGUCUCUGGGCAGUAACUGACGCUGAGGAGCGAAAGCGUGGGGAGCGAACAGGAUUAGAUACCCUGGUAGUCCACGCCGUAAACGGUGGGUACUAGGUGUGGGUUCCUUCCUUGGGAUCCGUGCCGUAGCUAACGCAUUAAGUACCCCGCCUGGGGAGUACGGCCGCAAGGCUAAAACUCAAAGGAAUUGACGGGGGCCCGCACAAGCGGC
RNAcentral lists this ribosomal RNA (820 nucleotides) under uncultured bacterium. RNAcentral's name for it is "bacterial SSU rRNA". It matches the Rfam family "Bacterial small subunit ribosomal RNA", at positions 100 to 933 of the family's 1533-position model. The record is from RNAcentral.